CAGACUCGAGAAGAGGGGGUGGACAAGAAGGUGUCGGAAGCAUUAGCAGUAAGAAAACAUGUCAACAGAAUAAAAUAUUAACCAAUGACAGAAAAGAUCGGGAAAUCCCACCCCCAUCUCCAAGCCAAGCAUCGGGUCAGCCCUCAAUUCUUAGCCGGUGGAGACAGCACCUCGGUCGGCUUGCGCUUUAUAAUUACGAUGAGGUCUUCCUCACCUUGUCCAGGGGUACCAAAGCUACGCACUGAAACACUGUCAAAUUGCGAUAAAUUCUAAUAAUUUUACCGAUGUUAUUACAGUCCUAUAUUUGGAAAUUAUUUAGAUCGGUCUCAACAAAAUGAACACAUAGAGCCUACAAAAAAGCAACUGCAACGAAAUAUAUUAAAUAAUUAAAACAAGUAGGGAAAGCUUUAGUUAUCUAUUUCAAGCUUUAUAUUUUUGUAUGAGUUUUGACUCCCAACAGCCAAUAAUAAUUUGCAUUCGCCAAUAGGCUGCCUGGUUGGCUAAGAUCGCACGGUUGGAGAUUUAUUAACUUAUGAAUGGCUGAUUUCGCGGAAGGGGAGCUCGAAGGGCGUAAGACUGCUAUAGGACGAUACUGAACAUUUUAUCCCUACAAUGACCAUUUCUGCGACUCACUGCAGUCUUGCGAGUGACUUCAUGGGAAGGACAGCGGCAAAUAAACCGGACAUUGCCACUUUAAAGGCAGCCCCGGGCCAUUCGAAAAAGCGCAGACCCAGAUGCCGCAUUCAAGCAAGAAGAAAAACUGGUUGAAAGAUUCUUAAGACUAAAAGCAAGCGUGGAGACAGGGCUGCAAGCUCCAGAGGGUUGACAUGACCUGACCCUCCCAGGGCCAAGGAGACCAGCGCAGGUAUAUCAUCUUCAGUCUCCAGACACCCUCUUUUCUCUCUCCCACUAUACAGGCGCUGUGUGGUGGCAAGGGCCAGGGCGAGGGCAGAGCCAGGGGGCCCAGGGCUGGGUGGGUAAGAGAGCAGGGCACCCCACCCCUGGGUACAUCUCUCUGGACAACCCUAAGGAGAUGGCAGGCUAGAUAUAGCAUUUGCAAUUCUAAGCAUUUAGCAGUCAUCUUUAGAGACUUGCAAGCGCACACAUGAAGGGAAACACAAUCCAAGUGUACCAGCAAAUUACCAGUGUACUUCUUCAGGAUUAUUUUUCUUUCAAGCCACUUAUGCAAAAUGCAACAGCGCCGUUUCAUUUGACCUCACAGGAAACAGAGUAUAAAAGGCAGAGAAAGCAGUCCUCUAAGGUAAUCUCAGUGGCAUGCUCUCUAAAGAGGCUACAUAUCCUUUAUGUGAAACAGCCAUAGUUACCCCAGCCUCAGUACAUAGGAACCUCCACAGAUGACAAGCAUGAAAAGUCCUUUCAUCAGAUCGCCCAGUAAUUUUCUGGAAGCUGCACUGUAGAAACUGUAGCUGUUGCAUAUAUGAGGGAGGCUCAAAAACAUGUUCUGGCUGUAAAGUGGUGUGUGUUAUUGCAGGCCAGGCAGUGUGUGUGUGUUCAUUUGGAGACGGGCCUUAUGUUUCUUAAGCAAGUGAGAUAUAAUGUCAAAAAUGUCACAGGAUCCUCAAAUACAUCACAGAUGAAAUAAUGCUUUUUGUCUGAAUUUUUUUAUUUUUAUUCCAAAGCCUAAUGUCAAUAUCUGUCUUUCUCUCUUGCGGCUUUUGCUGCCAUGUUCUCCUGCUCUGACUGUGAUAUAAAUAAAUAACAAUAAAGACCACUGCAUUUACA
Clupea harengus (Atlantic herring) is the source of this 1743-nucleotide long non-coding RNA. RefSeq lists it as uncharacterized. NCBI's taxonomy places the organism in Eukaryota, Metazoa, Chordata, Actinopteri, Clupeiformes, Clupeidae. The record is from RefSeq and is a predicted model, not a curated record.